Molecule: ribosomal RNA, 253 nt
Filed under: uncultured bacterium
Lineage: Bacteria
Description: partial 16S ribosomal RNA
Rfam family: Bacterial small subunit ribosomal RNA
Source: RNAcentral
UACGGAAGGGGCAAGCGUUGUUCGGAAUCAUUGGGCGUAAAGGGCGCGUAGGUGGUCUUGUGUGUCUACCGUGAAAGCACACGGCUCAACCGUGUAAAGUCGGUAGAAACUGCGAGACUUGAGGUUGGGAGGGGCUGGUGGAAUUCCCUGUGUAGCGGUGAAAUGCGUAGAGAUGGGGGAGAACACUUGUGGCGAAGGCGGCCAGCUGGACCAAAUCUGACACUGAGGCGCGACAGCGUGGGGAGCAAACAGG